This 505-nucleotide ribosomal RNA is filed under the name uncultured bacterium. RNAcentral describes it as "partial 16S ribosomal RNA". It matches the Rfam family "Bacterial small subunit ribosomal RNA", at positions 28 to 507 of the family's 1533-position model. The record is from RNAcentral.
GACGAACGCUGGCGGCGUGCCUAAUACAUGCAAGUAGAACGCACAGUUUAUACCGUAGCUUGCUACACCAUAGACUGUGAGUUGCGAACGGGUGAGUAACGCGUAGGUAACCUGCCUGGUAGCGGGGGAUAACUAUUGGAAACGAUAGCUAAUACCGCAUAAUAUUAAUUAUUGCAUGAUAAUUAAUUGAAAGGUGCAAUUGCACCACUACCAGAUGGACCUGCGUUGUAUUAGCUAGUAGGUGAGGUAACGGCUCACCUAAGCGACGUUACAUAGCCGACCUGAGAGGGUGAUCGGCAACACUGGGACUGAGACACGGCCCAGACUCCUAAGGGAGGCAGCAGUAGGGAAUCUUCGGCAAUGGACGAAAGUCUGACCGAGCAACGCCGCGUGAGUGAAGAAGGGUUUCGGAUCGUAAAGCUCUGUUGUAAGAGAAGAACGGGUGUGAGAGUGGAAAGUUCACACUGUGACGGUAUCUUACCAGAAAGGGACGGCUAACUACGUG